GACCAUCUCCCAACCCUAAAUACUCCCUAGUGACCGAUAGUGAACCAGUACCGUGAGGGAAAGGUGAAAAGCACCCCGGGAGGGGAGUGAAAUAGAACCUGAAACCGUGUGCCUACAACAAGUUCGAGCCCGUUAAUGGGUGAGAGCGUGCCUUUUGUAGAAUGAACCGGCGAGUUACGUUAUGAUGCGAGGUUAAGUUGAAGAGACGGAGCCGUAGGGAAACCGAGUCUGAAUAGGGCGCCUUAGUAUCAUGACGUAGACCCGAAACCAUGUGACCUACCCAUGAGCAGGUUGAAGGUGCGGUAAGACGCACUGGAGGACCGAACCAGGGCACGUUGAAAAGUGCUUGGAUGACUUGUGGGUAGCGGAGAAAUUCCAAACGAACUUGGAGAUAGCUGGUUCUCUCCGAAAUAGCUUUAGGGCUAGCGUCGACAUUAGAGAUUCUUGGAGGUAGAGCACUGUUUGGGUGAGGGGUCCAUCCCGGAUUACCAAUCUCAGAUAAACUCCGAAUGCCAAUGAAUUAUGGUCGGCAGUCAGACUGCGAGUGCUAAGAUCCGUAGUCGAAAGGGAAACAGCCCAGACCACCAGCUAAGGUCCCAAAAUAAUUGUUAAGUGGAAAAGGAUGUGGGGUUGCACAGACAACUAGGAUGUUAGCUUAGAAGCAGCUAUUCAUUCAAAGAGUGCGUAAUAGCUCACUAGUCGAGUGACCCUGCGCCGAAAAUGUACCGGGGCUAAAACAAUUUACCGAAGCUGUGGAUACCUUUAUAGGUAUGGUAGGAGAGCGUUCUAUGUGUGAUGAAGGUAUACCGUGAGGAGUGCUGGAACGCAUAGAAGUGAGAAUGCCGGUAUGAGUAGCGAAAGACAGGUGAGAAUCCUGUCCACCGUAAGACUAAGGUUUCCAGGGGAAGGCUCGUCCGCCCUGGGUUAGUCGGGACCUAAGGAGAGACCGAAAGGUGUAUCCGAUGGACAACAGGUUGAUAUUCCUGUACUAGAGUAUGUAGUGAUGGAGGGACGCAGUAGGCUAACUAAAGCAGACGAUUGGAAGAGUCUGUCUAAGCAGUGAGGUGUGAAUUGAGUCAAAUGCUUAAUUCUAUAACAUUGAGCUGUGAUGGGGAGCGAAGUUUAGUAGCGAAGUUAGUGACGUCACACUGCCAAGAAAAGCUUCUAGCGUUUAAACAUACUCUACCCGUACCGCAAACCGACACAGGUAGUCGAGGCGAGUAGCCUCAGGUGAGCGAGAGAACUCUCGUUAAGGAACUCGGCAAAAUGACCCCGUAACUUCGGGAGAAGGGGUGCUGACUUAAAGUCAGCCGCAGUGAAUAGGCCCAAGCAACUGUUUAUCAAAAACACAGCUCUCUGCUAAAUCGUAAGAUGAUGUAUAGGGGGUGACGCCUGCCCGGUGCUGGAAGGUUAAGAGGAGUGCUUAGCGUAAGCGAAGGUAUGAAUUGAAGCCCCAGUAAACGGCGGCCGUAACUAUAACGGUCCUAAGGUAGCGAAAUUCCUUGUCGGGUAAGUUCCGACCCGCACGAAAGGCGUAAUGAUUUGGGCACUGUCUCAACGAGAGACUCGGUGAAAUUUUAGUACCUGUGAAGAUGCAGGUUACCCGCGACAGGACGGAAAGACCCCAUGGAGCUUUACUGCAGUUUGAUAUUGAGUGUCUGUACCACAUGUACAGGAUAGGUAGGAGUCUAAGAGAUCGGGACGCCAGUUUCGAAGGAGACGCUGUUGGGAUACUACCCUUGUGUUAUGGCCACUCUAACCCAGAUAGGUGAUCCCUAUCGGAGACAGUGUCUGACGGGCAGUUUGACUGGGGCGGUCGCCUCCUAAAAGGUAACGGAGGCGCCCAAAGGUUCCCUCAGAAUGGUUGGAAAUCAUUCGCAGAGUGUAAAGGUAUAAGGGAGCUUGACUGCGAGAGCUACAACUCGAGCAGGGACGAAAGUCGGGCUUAGUGAUCCGGUGGUUCCGUAUGGAAGGGCCAUCGCUCAACGGAUAAAAGCUACCCUGGGGAUAACAGGCUUAUCUCCCCCAAGAGUUCACAUCGACGGGGAGGUUUGGCACCUCGAUGUCGGCUCGUCGCAUCCUGGGGCUGGAGCAGGUCCCAAGGGUUGGGCUGUUCGCCCAUUAAAGCGGCACGCGAGCUGGGUUCAGAACGUCGUGAGACAGUUCGGUCCCUAUCCGUCGCGGGCGUAGGAAAUUUGAGAGGAUCUGCUCCUAGUACGAGAGGACCAGAGUGGACUUACCGCUGGUGUACCAGUUGUCUUGCCAAAGGCAUCGCUGGGUAGCUAUGUAGGGAAGGGAUAAACGCUGAAAGCAUCUAAGUGUGAAACCCACCUCAAGAUGAGAUUUCCCAUGAUUAUAUAUCAGUAAGAGCCCUGAGAGAUGAUCAGGUAGAUAGGUUAGAAGUGGAAGUGUGGCGACACAUGUAGCGGACUAAUACUAAUAGCUCGAGGACUUAUCCAA
RNAcentral lists this ribosomal RNA (2460 nucleotides) under Mycobacterium tuberculosis. RNAcentral's name for it is "bacterial LSU rRNA". It matches the Rfam family "Bacterial large subunit ribosomal RNA", at positions 451 to 2925 of the family's 2925-position model. The record is from RNAcentral. Lineage: Bacteria; Bacillati; Actinomycetota; Actinomycetes; Mycobacteriales; Mycobacteriaceae.